This 483-nucleotide long non-coding RNA is filed under the name Oryza brachyantha (malo sina). RNAcentral describes it as "long non-coding RNA (OBRA_LNC003445)". The record is from RNAcentral. Lineage: Eukaryota; Viridiplantae; Streptophyta; Magnoliopsida; Poales; Poaceae.
UCCAUCUCUUUCGUUCCAUCUUCCUCCCUAGUCUCUGUCCAUCUCUUUCACUUGCCCCUGCGCCUAAAGGAAUGGUUCGUUUCAUCAAUUCCCCGACACCAGGCUAAGAUGAGUUCAUUCCACUCAAAUACCUUUGAAUAGCGUUGGAGAUAUCAAAGCGAAAAUGGAAAGAAUAGAGUGAGGAAUGAUGAGCUAUUAAGCUAGAUUGAUGAGCUAUUAGGCUAACCAUACCUAAGGAUAACCCGCAAAAUAUCGUAGAUAGAAGGAAAGGAGAGAUAGCCUCUCUCAACCUAUUAACUUACUUCUUUUAUCCUACCAGCGUUUUUUCAUUUUCUCUUAGAGAGUCCUUCUGAACUCGUCAUGAAUUGGUUUCGAACCAAUGCCUCUACAGAUUCAACAAUGACAGUAUCCCUUCUUCUUCCCUCGACUCAAUCAUUUCCUAGAUAAUCAACAGGGCUGCUUCAUGGCGAUGGAGUGACUGAU